GGGGAAUAUUGCACAAUGGGCGAAAGCCUGAUGCAGCAACGCCGCGUGAGUGAUGAAGGCCUUCGGGUUGUAAAGCUCUGUCUUUUGGGACGAUAAUGACGGUACCAAAGGAGGAAGCCACGGCUAACUACGUGCCAGCAGCCGCGGUAAUACGUAGGUGGCAAGCGUUGUCCGGAAUUACUGGGCGUAAAGAAUGCGUAGGUGGAUAUGCAAGUCAGAUGUGAAAUACCCGGGCUCAACUUGGGUGCUGCAUUUGAAACUAUAUAGCUAGAGUGCAGGAGAGGAAAGCGGAAUUCCUAGUGUAGCGGUGAAAUGCGUAGAGAUUACGAAGAACACCAGUGGCGAAGACGGCGUUCUAAACUGUAACUGACAGUGAGGCAUGUAUGCGUGGGGAG
This 395-nucleotide ribosomal RNA is filed under the name uncultured bacterium. RNAcentral describes it as "bacterial SSU rRNA". It matches the Rfam family "Bacterial small subunit ribosomal RNA", at positions 356 to 768 of the family's 1533-position model. The record is from RNAcentral.